ACGGGUGAGUAACACGUGGGUGAUCUGCCCUGCACUUCGGGAUAAGCCUUGGAAACUGGGUCUAAUACCGGAUAUGACCUUCGGCUGCAUGGCUGAGGGUGGAAAGGUUUACUGGUGCAGGAUGGGCCCGCGGCCUAUCAGCUUGUUGGUGGGGUAAUGGCCUACCAAGGCGACGACGGGUAGCCGACCUGAGAGGGUGACCGGCCACACUGGGACUGAGACACGGCCCAGACUCCUACGGGAGGCAGCAGUUGGGAAUAUUGCACAAUGGGCGAAAGCCUGAUGCAGCGACGCCGCGUGAGGGAUGACGGCCUUCGGGUUGUAAACCUCUUUCAGCAGGGACGAAGCGAAAGUGACGGUACCUGCAGAAGAAGCACCGGCUAACUACGUGCCAGCAGCCGCGGUAAUACGUAGGGUGCAAGCGUUGUCCGGAAUUACUGGGCGUAAAGAGUUCGUAGGCGGUUUGUCGCGUCGUUUGUGAAAACUCACAGCUCAACUGUGAGCCUGCAGGCGAUACGGGCAGACUUGAGUACUGCAGGGGAGACUGGAAUUCCUGGUGUAGCGGUGAAAUGCGCAGA
RNAcentral lists this ribosomal RNA (578 nucleotides) under Rhodococcus sp. HRTK001. RNAcentral describes it as "bacterial SSU rRNA". It matches the Rfam family "Bacterial small subunit ribosomal RNA", at positions 102 to 694 of the family's 1533-position model. The record is from RNAcentral. Lineage: Bacteria; Bacillati; Actinomycetota; Actinomycetes; Mycobacteriales; Nocardiaceae.